Molecule: non-coding RNA, 551 nt
Organism: Prunus avium (sweet cherry)
Lineage: Eukaryota; Viridiplantae; Streptophyta; Magnoliopsida; Rosales; Rosaceae
Source: RefSeq, a predicted model, not a curated record
GUUGCUGCAGGUCUACCUCGAGAACUUGCACUGGGUCUAGCAUCUCAAACUGUAUUAGGAGCAGCAUCUAUGGUUACUAUUACUGGGAAGCAUCCAGGUCAGCUAAAGGAUGAUGUAACAUCACCUGCUGGAACUACUAUUGCUGGCAUUCAUGAGCUGGAGAAGGGCGGGUUUCGUGGAAUAUUGAUGAAUGCAGUCCUCGCUGCUGCCAAACGCAGCCGAGAAUUUUCGCAGAACCAGUGACAGUGAUAUUCUUAUAUCAGAUGAGCUUUUGGCCCUUCCUUUUCAUAGCGCAGGGGAUAGAAAUCAUUUCCAGAGAAUAUUAUAGAUUCUUAUAUAUUGUCCCGUGCUACAAUAUGUUUAAUUAGAGUUUGAUUGAAAUACUGUUUUCAAGAUUGGACUACAGGUAGAAUAAGCUUAGCUAGCAAUAAUAAUAAAAAUUUCUUGAUUUUAUGUUCGUUAACAAAACAUUGGUGCAAUUCCAAGCCCAAUGCUGUCAACGGAGGCUCCUCAUGAAAUGCUUUUAACCAUAAAGAACACAAAUUAGAAGA